This 85-nucleotide transfer RNA is filed under the name Galdieria phlegrea. Its description in RNAcentral is "tRNA-Leu". It matches the Rfam family "tRNA". Rfam says of the family: Transfer RNA (tRNA) molecules are approximately 80 nucleotides in length. Their secondary structure includes four short double-helical elements and three loops (D, anti-codon, and T loops). Further hydrogen bonds mediate the characteristic L-shaped molecular structure. tRNAs have two regions of fundamental functional importance: the anti-codon, which is responsible for specific mRNA codon recognition, and the 3' end, to which the tRNAs corresponding amino acid is attached (by aminoacyl-tRNA synthetases). tRNAs cope with the degeneracy of the genetic code in two manners: having more than one tRNA (with a specific anti-codon) for a particular amino acid; and 'wobble' base-pairing, i.e. permitting non-standard base-pairing at the 3rd anti-codon position. The record is from RNAcentral. Lineage: Eukaryota; Rhodophyta; Bangiophyceae; Galdieriales; Galdieriaceae.
UGCAGAUGUGGCGAAAUUGGUAGACGCGUUAGAUUUAGGAUCUAAUGAUAAAAACUCAUGAGAGUUCAAGUCUCUCCAUCUGUAU